AUAUUCUAAUGUCAGUCCAAAUAAACAGAUGCUAUAUUCGCUGUACAACGAGGUAAACCAGGAGGCCAGGUAAGGUAGCUUCACACGGUUGAUGAUUAAACUGAUGGAGAGCAGUAUCACAAAGGUAACACACUGUACCACAUCGGUAACAUUGUCUCAUAUGGAUAACAUACACGAUAACACGGGUAACAUUGUAUGACAAAGGGUAUAUUCUGCAUCAUAAUGGUGAUAGAUUGUAUGACAUAGGUAACAUUCUGUUACAUGGGUAACAUAUUCAUAUCAAAACCUUAACAUCCUAUAUCACAUGGGUGACAUAUUAAGUUACACACAUACCAUGGUGUUACCACAGGGUAAGGUCCUUUGACAUGGGUAGUACAUUGUAUCACAUGGGUAGUACAUUGUAUCACAUGGGUAGUACAUUGUAUCACAUGGGUAGUACAUUGUAUCACAUGGGUAGUACUGUAUCACAUGGGUAGUACAUUGUAUCUUAUGGGUAGUACAUUGUAUCACAUGGGUAGUACAUUGUAUCACAUGGGUAGUACAUUGUAUCACAUGGGUAGUACAUUGUAUCGUAGUACAUUGUAUCACAUGGGUAGUACAUUGUAUCACAUGGGUAGUACAUUGUAUCACAUGGGUAGUACAUUGUAUCACAUGGGUAGUACAUUGUAUCACAUGGGAAACAUGUUGUAUCACACAGGUAACAUAUUGUAUCAAAUCGGUAGCAUACUGUAAUACAGUGUGUCACAUGGAUAACCUUCUGACACGUGUCUGACAUUGUAUCAGUCCUAAUGUGUACAUAAACAUUUCUGUCUGGUGUGACACUGUAUGAGAUCAUGCAUGUACAAAUACGCUCUUGUCUGGUGUUAAUAUGUCAGUCAGUUCUUGUAUGUACAUGUACACAAACUGUCUAGUGUAACACUGUAGUAGACGGUCAAUGGAUGUACAUAUACACAACCUGUCUAGUGUUACACUGUAGUAGACGGUCAAUGGAUGUACAUAUACACAACCUGUCUAGUGUUGCACUGUAGUAGACGGUCAAUGGAUGUACAUAUACACAACCUGUCUAGUGUUACACUGUAGUAGACGGUCAAUGGAUAUACAUAUACACAACCUGUCUAGUGUUGCACUGUAGUAGACGGUCAAUGGAUGUACAUAUACACAGCCUGUCUAGUGUUACACUGUAGUAGACGGUCAAUGGAUGAACAUAUACACAACCUGUCUAGUGUUACACUGUAGUAGACGGUCAAUGGAUGUACUUUUACACUGUCAAUAUACCGGAACCAGUUCCACUUGCAUCCAGGCCAGAUAAUGCAGGACUUUUGCACAUUGCACAUGAUUCAUUUUGUCAAGAAGAAUUACAUAGUGACAAGCUAAACUUAGGAUUUUUCAGUUGCUUGCAAUGCUAGAUGUAACUUGGAACCAGUUUAAGGGGCGACAAGUCACCAUACAUCUGUUCAGACACAUGGCAGAGAUACACUAACUCAUGUUUAUAUGUUUUUGUUAUAUAUUUAUUACUUUACAAACCUUUAUGUGGAGAAUGAAUGUUCAUUAUGUAAUUAUGUAAAUGCUGAGAAAUGGAAGAUGUAUGAUUAUUCAAUUUUGAAAAAUAAAUUCCAAUUACAAUAUUAUUGAUCAGCAA
Molecule: long non-coding RNA, 1639 nt
Filed under: Haliotis rubra (blacklip abalone)
Lineage: Eukaryota; Metazoa; Mollusca; Gastropoda; Lepetellida; Haliotidae
Description: uncharacterized LOC124253337
Source: RNAcentral